RNAcentral lists this non-coding RNA (30 nucleotides) under Homo sapiens (human). Lineage: Eukaryota; Metazoa; Chordata; Mammalia; Primates; Hominidae. The record is from RNAcentral.
UNGCCACACAGCCUUACAGGCUCUCUACUC